AUGCUUUACACUUGGACUAACGGUAACUCGACUUAGGGCAGUGAUUUUCACGGACUACUAGCUAAUAUAAAUCGGUGUGUAUCCGAUUUACCAACCGUAAUUUUUUUUGUGAACAUUCUUUAAUUAUGGAAACGCUUCGCCUUAGAUUUCCACCCUUUUCUCCAACAAAACCAGGGCAGGUAACAGCAGGGCUCGGCAAAACAGAUAUGACUAGUUAGCUACGGCACGCCCCUUUUGAGCUUCGUGCCUAUGGCGACACGAAGCUAGGAGGGUCCAAGUCGUCAGCGGCCACAUUCCAUGUGUGUCGACGGCAAGCAAAUGAAAAGACCAAGGAUUCCGUUACAUUGUGUUACAUACGGUUAAAACCAUCGCCGUGCAAUAACAACAACGGAGCUGGGAGUAACCUAUAAAUGUAAAACAUAAUAAUAAUACAUACAUUGAUGAUAUACUUUAUUGAUAGCACACGUUUUGGCGUUGACAAAAAAAGUAAAUCUCGUGAUACUUGGUUGAGAAAUGAGGAAGUUACAGUUUAAUUUCAAUGUCCAUGUAUUACCUUUAUUGGGAACCUCGACCGUCCCAACAUGGCCGCCAUGUGGUCACGUUGGGGCGCCUGGCUGAUACAACGCGCUGGCCUAUCUCGUUUUAUUAAAUGUGCUUGAAUGUGACGUCACGCCGCGUUGUACAUUAGCGUUAUCGCCAUGUUGCCUGCAACUACCGGUCUCCUGUUUACAACUGAAGAUGUUUGAAGUUUGAAUGGGUGUUCUGGCCUGUGUACCAAAAAACAGACUGCAAGAGUCCUGUCACCUUUUCAUCUUAUCAUGACUCUAAUGGCCCAGUUUGCCAAUGCAACACUGUCCACAUCAAUCAUGUUGAUAGAAAAACUGUUUCCAACACAUUAAGUGACAUCAUAAAUGUACAUAGCCCCCCUGGUGCAACAUAGGUAAUACUGUCCUACUGCUUUAUGAAUGCUUUUUAUUUGCGAUGCACUGAAUUUUCUGCCGAAGAUAUCCCCUAAGUGCAUUUUUGGUUUCGGACCGACAGACUUUUGUCACUGAAAUAAAAGGGCCAAAACACGAUGUUGUCAUGACGCAGGCAAAAACAGUGGCCAGUACCCAGUAGUGUACACUAUAGUGUAAUGAUAUUCAAAUAGAAUAGAAUAUAAAAAUAAGAUGAAAAGAUAACCACAAUGGGGAAAUUUGCAUCGUGGCUGCAACCCUGUCCGCCAUUACAGGGUUGCUGCAAUAAAUCCAUUAAAAUGACAAAUAUUGAAGCCAUAAUGUAUUAACUUUUGUUAUUACGAUUAUAGAGUAAUGAUUAUCUUGUGCAAUUGAACAGUGUGCAGAAUUAUUUUUUAUCCUAUUACACAAUAUACUGCAAUAACUCUCCCACAGUAAUAUCGUUGACAUAGUUUAAAAAAUAUGGAAAUUCAGACAUAUUGGCCCCGGGAGUGAAUUUGCAUAAAUUGGCAGCUGUCCAUUCCUGGUCAUGAAUGCAAUUGUACAGAUAAUUGGCAUGGUAAUUUCUUUCAGCUGUCGGCCUUGGGCAUAGGAUGUGUUAUUAUCUGACAGCCGCCUUUAUUGACUUAUUUUUGUCAGAAUCAUAUUAAUGAAUAAUAUCUGAGAAUGUUACUAUAUACAUAGCUUAACUGAACUUUUGAAACAGAUUGUCAAAAAGCUCCAUGUGGCUGUGUCCAAAUGACAGCGUUGGUAUUUUUCUGGUUUUAUCAUGUUCAGGUCUUGCACCCACCCUUUGGUAAACUGCACAUUAGAGCCUAACGACUUACGUGUUUUUAACUGCUCUGAAGUGUAGGCACUCAAUCCACACACAACGUAAGCGAAACCACCUGCUGUGCACGUUACAACGGAGGCUGGAGGUCCGCUGCUCCACGCUAUAUUAGGGAUUUAGUACGGAUUUAGAAUGUUUAUUUUUGUCAGAUAUCGGUCUGCGGCUGCCUUUCUGGAAUUUUAAAAGCGAUGACGACACAGCGAGGGCAAAGCCUUUGUUUACUUUCUCCUCGCCGUCAACAUGUCUGCCACAACCCACAAUGCAAAGCGGUUCCCAAGUCCUAUUGCAAUGUUUGAAAUCGCUUGUUGUUGGCGUCGCAGAAAGACAAACCUGCAGCGUUGGGGAGUUUGCACUGACUUUGUAUUGAAUCUGUCCGUUAAGCCAGAUAAGGUUAAUGUUUUGGUUCUUCUGGCAAAGAAAUUGACACCUGACUGUUCAAUUCUAAUGUUCUGUUUCUUUAAAAUGCCCUGUAAAGAAACACGAUUCCACCGUGCUCGUUUUAUUCGCUAUGGUUUCUAAGUGACUCCUAAUUACAGUUUUCAUUUUUAAUAUUUAUUUAAAACUUGAUUUCUUUUGUAUUAUCGGCAUACAGUCUGCAAUAAGAGGCCCAAGCACAGGCCAAGUUCCUCACACUGUUUUUUUUUUUUUUUUUUAAUCCUUAUAGAAGCGCCGGUCAUCAUUUUAUCAUUACUGUGUUUUUCAAUGAAAAAUUAUACUGGAUAUCUUCUAAGCAUUCAUUUUGUUCAAAAGAUAAUGAGGAUAUUUUUACAGAUCAUAGUCGGCGCUCUCCAGAGCCGACCACGAAACAUUUUUAUGAGUUGUUUCUUUAAAUAAUGUGUGUGCUCGGUAUUUCUAUUUAUUAUUUUUCUGUGCCUUGCCUUGGUAACUACUGUUUGUAUAUUCCGAGCAAUUCUUUCAGUGCUUUCAUUUUGUGUUUGAAUGUGCUCUGUGUUUUGGCCUGUCUUUCUCUUUAAAUUAGACCGCCUCCACCUUUCUAUUCCGUGGCACCUGUUCCCCACCAGAAAGGUAUAUGUCUCAUAUAUUAGCCCCAUAGUUGUUAUCAGAGUUAUUGAGGGCCCUUCCUUUGCUGAUUGAUUGCCAGUUCUGCCUGUUUGGUUUUCUGUCCCUGGGUUGUCUGUCUGUGAAGUAUGGCAAAAGCACCCCCCUACUGGACAUUGAGGCGAAAAUCAAGGGCAAGAGUUAAUCAACACUCGGAGUCCAUCCAGUCUAGUUCAACGUCCGGCAGUACAACUGAAGAAGUACGUGUUGACGCUAAGAAUGAAUUUGCUGCUGAUGUUGAGGACCACUUCACGGACUGUGAAUCCUCCUUUGCCGAGGCUGUGGAGUUUGACGAAUCUUCCGAUUCUGAUAACAACUGCUUGACUUUGGAAGAUGAGGGGAGUCUUUUGGGAGCUAAUUUGACAACGUGGGCAGUGGACGAAAAUAUAACACACAGUUCUUUGAACAAACCUCUGAAAAUUCUGAAGUGCUAUCGUCCAACUGCUGUGAGUGAUGGACUGGGCACUUUUCAACGUCCGAGAUCUCGCCUUUCUAACACCCAUCAAAUCAUCCCAAGUAACUGCACAGCAGUUGAAAGGUUCAUUCUCGAACAAUUGGGAGAACUUCACCUCAAAGUGGACCGCUUAACAGCUACCCUACAGUCACUCAGUCCAAAGUGAGCUCCUGACCGACCACCCAGGAGCAAUGACUAUGGCAAGAGCCUCCCCAUUUCCACAUUGGAGGAGCUGUGCAACUUCGAUGAGAGACUUUGUCGGGACAGAAAUUUUAAGAAACAUGAGAUCACAAAGCUGUCCAUAACUGGGGGAACAUCUGUUAAAAAAAACUGUGUGGCGAGUGUGCAGCAAGGUCUUUGCACCUGAGUUUGCUACUCAGUUAAAUUGGUGUGGGAGAGGACAGAAGACUGGCAUCAAAUCCCGACCACUACAUGAAAUUCUAGUGUUGUCAGUUUUUAAAAAUGGACUCCUGAGGAACGUUACAGAGGCUGAGGUCGAGGCUGCCAUACAAAAUUGGCUCAGGCUGAGCCAAGACAGAAUUGGAGGACGACGGAGGAGGGAGAGACCAUCAAAGACGGAAGAACCAUAGCUGUAAAGAAAGAUGACUCACUCAUGAAAAUACAAUAACAAAUUUCUCACAGCCUUAGUUGUUUUCCUCGUCUUCUAACCUGACACCUCAAGGCUUGGUCGAUCCUUUUGCUUAUUGUUUUUAAUUUGGACUCCCGCCUCCUCAGAAAAGGGAGCACUAAAUCUCUUCACAAGUUGAUGUGUACGGUGAGUAAGUGGUGGGGGGCCUGAAAAUAGUUUCACCUGUCAAAGCCACGAGAACAUGGCAGAAAGAGUUUGGGAACUGUUUUUCAGUCAGUAUAUCUCAAGCAAGGGGACUUAAGAGCAUGACCGGCAAAACUAGAAAGCACUCGGAAAGUACUGACCUCGGCCAAAGCAACUGAACAGAGUCAGGCAGCCUUUCCAGAAGGACAGACAGACAGACAAAAUUGUAAACUAUAUAAAAAUAGACUUUAGUCCCCAGAUAGAGAAGCUCUUUUACACACGAUGGACGGCGGUGUUUUGUCAACUGCGAGCUCCUGAGGGAGAAGCCACAGCUCAUCUUUUUAAAGAAGUUGUACACCGUAGUGCUGCAAAUAAAUGAUUUAUCAUCACAGUAACUUCUUCCCUUGCUUGUUACGUAUACAGUGACUGGAUUAGAUUUUGGAACGAAAUCCUUUUCAAAAUACCAGUAGAUAUUUUUUUAAUGACGACCAUGAGAUGGACAUGUGAUUUGAAUGAUGAAACUUUCACGAUGAUGUGAGAUUUCGAAGUGAUGUGUUAAUAGUCUUUUU
Phyllopteryx taeniolatus (common seadragon) is the source of this 4639-nucleotide long non-coding RNA. RefSeq lists it as uncharacterized. The record is from RefSeq and is a predicted model, not a curated record. The transcript is spliced from 6 exons. NCBI's taxonomy places the organism in Eukaryota, Metazoa, Chordata, Actinopteri, Syngnathiformes, Syngnathidae.